GACGAACGCUGGCGGCGUGCUUAACACAUGCAAGUCGAACGGAAAGGCCCUGCUUUUGUGGGGUGCUCGAGUGGCGAACGGGUGAGUAACACGUGAGUAACCUGCCCUUGACUUUGGGAUAACUUCAGGAAACUGGGGCUAAUACCGGAUAGGAGCUCCUGCUGCAUGGUGGGGGUUGGAAAGUUUCGGCGGUUGGGGAUGGACUGGCGGCUUAUCAGCUUGUUGGUGGGGUAGUGGCUUACCAAGGCUUUGAAGGUAGCCGGCCUGAGAGGGUGACCGGCCACAUUGGGACUGAGAUACGGCCCAGACUCGUACGGGAGGCAGCAGUGGGGAAUAUUGCACAAUGGGCGGAAGCCUGAUGCAGCAACGCCGCGUGCGGGAUGACGGCCUUCGGGUUGUAAACCGCUUUCGCCUGUGACGAAGCGUGAGUGACGGUAAUGGGUAAAGAAGCACCGGCUAACUACGUG
RNAcentral lists this ribosomal RNA (467 nucleotides) under uncultured bacterium. Its description in RNAcentral is "partial 16S ribosomal RNA". It matches the Rfam family "Bacterial small subunit ribosomal RNA", at positions 28 to 507 of the family's 1533-position model. The record is from RNAcentral.